RNAcentral lists this ribosomal RNA (499 nucleotides) under uncultured Glomeromycotina. Its description in RNAcentral is "partial small subunit ribosomal RNA". It matches the Rfam family "Eukaryotic small subunit ribosomal RNA", at positions 591 to 1092 of the family's 1831-position model. Lineage: Eukaryota; Fungi; Glomeromycota. The record is from RNAcentral.
CCAAUAGCGUAUAUUAAAGUUGCUGCAGUUAAAAAGCUCGUAGUUGAAUUUCGGGGUUAGUAAGUUGGUCAUGCCUUUGGUAUGCACUGGCUUUACUGAUUCCUCCUUCUUGACGAACCGUGAUGUCAUUAAUUUGGUGUUGCGGGAAAUCAGGACUGUUACUUUGAAAAAAUUAGAGUGUUUAAAGCAGGCUAACGCUUGAAUACAUUAGCAUGGAAUAAUGAAAUAGGACGUUAAUCCUAUUUUGUUGGUUUCUAGGAUCGACGUAAUGAUUAAUAGGGAUAGUUGGGGGCAUUAGUAUUCAAUUGUCAGAGGUGAAAUUCUUGGAUUUAUUGAAGACUAACUACUGCGAAAGCAUUUGCCAAGGAUGUUUUCAUUAAUCAAGAACGAAAGUUAGGGGAUCGAAGACGAUCAGAUACCGUCGUAGUCUUAACCAUAAACUAUGCCGACUAGGGAUCGGAUGAUGUUAAUUCUUUAAUGACUCAUUCGGCGCCUUACG